GAUCCUGGCUCAGGACGAACGCUGGCGGCGCGCCUAACACAUGCAAGUCGAACGGAAUCAAGAGGAGCUUGCUUUUCUUGAUUUAGUGGCGAACGGGUGAGUAACGCGUGAGUAACCUGCCCUGGAGUGGGGGACAACAGUUGGAAACGACUGCUAAUACCGCAUAAGCCCACGGUACCGCAUGGCACUGAGGGAAAAGGAUUUAUUCGCUUCAGGAUGGACUCGCGUCCAAUUAGAUAGUAGGCGGGGUAACGG
RNAcentral lists this ribosomal RNA (255 nucleotides) under uncultured bacterium. RNAcentral describes it as "partial 16S ribosomal RNA". It matches the Rfam family "Bacterial small subunit ribosomal RNA", at positions 15 to 263 of the family's 1533-position model. The record is from RNAcentral.